GAUGAACGCUGGCGGCGUGCCUAAUACAUGCAAGUCGAGCGAACAGACGAGGAGCUUUCUCCUCUGACGUUAGCGGCGGACGGGUGAGUAACACGUGGAUAACCUACCUAUAAGACUGGGAUAACUUCGGGAAACCGGAGCUAAUACCGGAUAAUAUAUUUAACCGCAUGGUUCAAUAGUGAAAGACGGUUUUGCUGUCACUUAUAGAUUGAUCCGCGCCGCAUUAGCUAGUUGGUAAGGUAACGGCUUACCAAGGCAACGAUGCGUAGCCGACCUGAGAGGGUGAUCGGCCACACUGGAACUGAGACACGGUCCAGACUCCUACGGGAGGCAGCAGUAGGGAAUCUUCCGCAAUGGGCGAAAGCUUGACGGAGCAACGCCGCGUGAGUGAUGAAGGUCUUCGGAUCGUAAAACUCUGUUAUUAGGGAAGAACAAAUGUGUAAGUAAUUAUGCACGUCUUGACGGUACCUAAUCAGAAAGCCACGGCUAACUACGUG
This 497-nucleotide ribosomal RNA is filed under the name uncultured bacterium. RNAcentral's name for it is "partial 16S ribosomal RNA". It matches the Rfam family "Bacterial small subunit ribosomal RNA", at positions 28 to 507 of the family's 1533-position model. The record is from RNAcentral.